GGAGAGAGUAUAGUUCAACAGUAGAGUGUGUGCCUAUCAUGCACGAGGUCCUGGGUUCAAGCCCCAGUACCUCCA
Non-coding RNA from Camelus dromedarius (Arabian camel), 75 nucleotides. NCBI's taxonomy places the organism in Eukaryota, Metazoa, Chordata, Mammalia, Artiodactyla, Camelidae. The record is from the annotation of a RefSeq genome assembly.